GAGCUGGUGGCGCAACAGUAGCGCAUCUGACUCCAGAUCAGAAGGUUGCGUGUUCGAAUCACGUCCAGCUCU
Molecule: transfer RNA, 72 nt
Filed under: Cordylochernes scorpioides
Lineage: Eukaryota; Metazoa; Arthropoda; Arachnida; Pseudoscorpiones; Chernetidae
Description: tRNA-Trp
Rfam family: tRNA
About the family: Transfer RNA (tRNA) molecules are approximately 80 nucleotides in length.
Source: RNAcentral